Long non-coding RNA from Metopolophium dirhodum (rose-grain aphid), 452 nucleotides. RefSeq lists it as uncharacterized. The transcript has 2 exons. NCBI's taxonomy places the organism in Eukaryota, Metazoa, Arthropoda, Insecta, Hemiptera, Aphididae. The record is from RefSeq and is a predicted model, not a curated record.
AUUAUUAUUUAAAUUUUUGGAGUUAAAUGCAGCUUUAAUAUUAAUGAAAGUAUACUUACUGUGCUAUAAGAAAUAAAUUUAAUAUAUAAUAAUAUGUUAAAUGUGCCAAACAAACAUAACUACAUUUAUUGAAAAGCCUGGAUUGUAGUACAAAAUCGACAGUAUUAUUUCAACAAGAUAUUUUUCUUUACAUUAUUAAAAUGAUUUAAAUGGCAAUGAAUGUUUUUAAUUUUGGUUUUUUUUUUUACUAAAAAAAUAAAAUAAGUACUUUAAAUUUAUUUUAAUUCCUAACCUUUCAAAUUAUUCAUAGUUUUUAGUUGUUUAAGGUUUAAUUUUGUUGUGUGACAAUUUCUUGUUUUUAAAAUGUAUUAACUGUAUCAAUCUAUUCAGUAUUUAUAAUUUAUUGGUAUAUUUAGAAAAAAUAAAUUUAAGUGUAAUGCAAUUUGCAAUAA